Molecule: transfer RNA, 83 nt
Filed under: Lasiosphaeris hirsuta
Lineage: Eukaryota; Fungi; Ascomycota; Sordariomycetes; Sordariales; Lasiosphaeriaceae
Rfam family: tRNA
About the family: Transfer RNA (tRNA) molecules are approximately 80 nucleotides in length. Their secondary structure includes four short double-helical elements and three loops (D, anti-codon, and T loops).
Source: Rfam by way of RNAcentral
GGGGGUGUGGCUCAGUUGUUAGAGCGUUCGCUUAGCAGUUUCUAUACUGCGAAAGGUCCUGAGUUCGAUUCUUAGCUUCUCCA